ACGGCUACCACAUCCAAGGAAGGCAGCAGGCACGCAAAUUACCCACUCCCGGCACGGGGAGGUAGUGACAAAAAAUAACGAUACGGGACUCAUCCGAGGCCCCGUAAUCGGAAUGAGUACACUCUAAAUCCUUUAACAAGGAUCCAUUGGAGGGCAAGUCUGGUGCCAGCAGCCGCGGUAAUUCCAGCUCCAAUAGCGUAUAUUAAAGUUGUUGCGGUUAAAAAGCUCGUAGUUGGUUCUGUGUGCCACGCUGUCGGUUCACCGCCUGCCGGUGCAACUGGCAUGUCGUGGGAUGUCCUGCCGGAGGCGUUCUGUGAAACUUAAGUAUAGUAUCAAUAAUUUUAUUGGUUCUAUCUUUUGUCCUCAGUCGCCGAUUUAAUCCUGCCGUGGUGCUCUUCACCGAGUGUCGAGGUAGGCCGGCACGUUUACUUUGAACAAAUUAGAGUGCUCCUGCCUGAAUAGUGGUGCAUGGAAUAAUAGAACAGGACCUCGAUUCUAUUUUGUUGGUUUUCGGAAUUCGAGGUAAUGAUCAAUGUGGACAGUCGGGGGCAUUCGUAUUGCGACGUUAGACUUGGCAAAUGCUUUCGCGGUGAAAUUCUUGGAUCGUCGCAAGACGCACGAGAGCGAAAGCAUUUGCCAAGUAUGUCUUAGUUGAUCAAGAACGAAAGUUAGAGGUUCGAAGGCGAUCAGAUACCGCCCUAGUUCUAACCAUAAACGAUGCCAGCUAGCGAUCCGCCAAUGUUUAUAUCAUGACUCGGCGGGCAGCCCCCGGGAAACCAAAGCUUUUGGGUUCCGGGGGAAGUAUGGUUGCAAAGCUGAAACUUAAAGGAAUUGACGGAAGGGCACCACCAGGAGUGGAGCAUGCGGCUUAAUUUGACUCAACACGGGAAACCUCACCAGGCCCGGACAUUGGAAGGAUUGACAGAUUGAUAGCUCUUUCUUGAUUCAGUGGGUAGUGGRGARHYNCHUSSNAGNABDASCCACUCCCGGCACGGGGAGGUAGUGACAAAAAAUAACGAUACGGGACUCGUAUGAGGCCUCGUAAUCGGAAUGAGUACACUUUAAAUCCUUUAACAAGGAACCAUUGGAGGGCCAGUCUGGUGCCAGCAGCCGCGGUAAUUCCAGCUCCAAUAGCGUAUAUUAAAGUUGUUGCGGUUAAAAAGCUCGUAGUUGGUUUUGCGUGCCACGCUGUCGGUACACCGUUUGUCGGUGCAACUGGCAUGCCGUGGCAUGUCCUGUCGGUGGCGUCCGGGAGCCCGGCGGACCCCAGGCACCUGUCUGGUACGGGUCUCGCUCGCGGCCUUCCUGGCGCCGACUAUAUCCUACCGCGGUGCUCUUCACUGAGUGUCGAGGUAGGCCGACACGUUUACUUUGAACAAAUUAGAGUGCUUAAAGCAGGCUAAAAUCUCUGCCUGAAUACUAGUGCAUGGAAUAAUGGAACAGGACCUUGGUUCUAUUCUGUUGGUUUUCGGAACACAAGGUAAUGAUCAAUGUGGACAGGCGGGGGCAUUCGUAUUGCGACGUUAGACUUGGCAAAUGCUUUCGCGGUGAAAUUCUUGGAUCGUCGCAAGACGCACUAGAGCGAAAGCAUUUGCCAAGUAUGUCUUAAUUGAUCAAGAACGAAAGUUAGAGGUUCGAAGGCGAUCAGAUACCGCCCUAGUUCUAACCAUAAACGAUGUCAGCCAGCGAUCCGCCGAUGUUCCUCCGAUGACUCGGCGGGGAGCUUUCCCCGGGAAACCAAAGCUUUUGGGUUCCGGGGGAAGUAUGGUUGCAAAGCUGAAACUUAAAGGAAUUGACGGAAGGGCACCACCAGUAGUGGAGCCUGCGGCUUAAUUUGACUCAACACGGGAAACCUCACCAGGUCAGGACAUUGGAAGGAUUGACAGAUUGAUAGCUCUUUCUUGAUUCAGUGGGUAGUGGGCAUGGCCGUUC
This 1932-nucleotide ribosomal RNA is filed under the name Micronecta sp. WCW-2003. Its description in RNAcentral is "partial 18S ribosomal RNA". It matches the Rfam family "Eukaryotic small subunit ribosomal RNA", at positions 405 to 1304 of the family's 1831-position model. Lineage: Eukaryota; Metazoa; Arthropoda; Insecta; Hemiptera; Micronectidae. The record is from RNAcentral.